UGGGGAAUUUUGGGCAAUGGGGGAAACCCUGAUCCAGCCAUCCCGCGUGUGCGAUGAAGGCCUUCGGGUUGUAAAGCACUUUUGGCAGGAGAGAAACGUCGCGGGUUAAUACCCCGCGAAACUGACGGUACCUGCAGAAUAAGCACCGGCUAACUACGUGCCAGCAGCCGCGGUAAUACGUAGGGUGCAAGCGUUAAUCGGAAUUACUGGGCGUAAAGCGUGCGCAGGCGGUUCGGAAAGAAAGAUGUGAAAUCCCAGAGCUUAACUUUGGAACUGCAUUUUUAACUACCGGGCUAGAGUGUGUCAGAGGGAGGUGGAAUUCCGCGUGUAGCAGUGAAAUGCGUAGAUAUGCGGAGGAACACCGAUGGCGAAGGCAGCCUCCUGGGAUAACACUGACGCUCAUGCACGAAAGCGUGGGGAGCAAACAGGAUUAGAUACCCUGGUAGUCCACGCCCUAAACGAUGUCAACUAGCUGUUGGGGGCCUUCGGGCCUUGGUAGCGCAGCUAACGCGUGAAGUUGACCGCCUGGGGAGUACGGUCGCAAGAUUAAAAACUUAAAUGAAUUGAC
Molecule: ribosomal RNA, 568 nt
Filed under: uncultured bacterium
Lineage: Bacteria
Description: partial 16S ribosomal RNA
Rfam family: Bacterial small subunit ribosomal RNA
Source: RNAcentral